CAUUUGCUUCAAUGAGGCUUUGGAUGAUAAUGGUCUAUUCCAGUAAUUUGUUUGGAUUUUUAAGCAGCUAUCAGAAGGACUUGAGGGUACUGAUGGUGCUCAGUUGGUAAUGAGCUUUUUAUAUAUUUCUGUAUGACUGAAUGUGUUGACCUGAAUAGCAACGGCCAGUUGCUGGCUGUAUCUUACGGCUGACAGCGGAGCCAUCUCACUGUCAUUACUGUAAUCUAACUGGUUUCGCAGGUUGGCAAUAUUCUAUGUUUUUUUUUAACAAGUCCCAUGAAAAGACCUAAACCAACAAUAAAUCUACUAACAAGUAUUGAUUGUGUAUCCAAAGCCUGACAUAUUUUAUACCUCUCCCCUAUAGAGCUCCAUUGUUA
This 377-nucleotide long non-coding RNA is filed under the name Dicentrarchus labrax (European seabass). RNAcentral describes it as "lncRNA (ENSDLAG00005028047.1)". Lineage: Eukaryota; Metazoa; Chordata; Actinopteri; Moronidae. The record is from RNAcentral.